UGAUUUGCUUUCUUAAUGAGCUUGGGACAUACCAAGAGAGUUUUCCAAUAUUGGAGACAUACCUUGCUCCAGGCAGGAGAUUUAAGGCCUUCUGCCAAUACUUAAGCUUUGUAGAUGGAUCACAUGUGAAGGCUUAUAUAAUUGGAAGGGCUUUAUAUAUCCAUAGACCAUUGGCAUGGGCAAAUCUUAAUGGGAAGAACUAUACCCAGGACUGGGGUGGAAAACGCAUGUUUGUCUCACUGUUCGUUAGGUCUUCAAUCUAAUUAUGUUGGUUAUAAUGCAUACCUCUGGUACAUCUGCGAGAUUGCAUUAAGGUGUCAUUUACUCACUAAUGGUAUAAAAAGGCAGAAGUCUUAGAAGUUGAACAUCACCCCCAAAAAGUUGGAUAAAAUGAUUAUCCAUCUGCGGAGGAUCACACCAGGAUAUAUAAGAUUACUGCAGACCCAAGCAGCUGGGAAAAUAGUGAUCAACACAACAGACAACCUGAUGCAACGGGCAGCUGUGUUCCUGGGCAUGUUUGGAAUAAGUAUGUCUACUUACAGCACCCUUCAGCUCACUCAGAAGAAGAGAUUCCCUUUGACUUUUUAGCCUCACCUGGGAUCUCAGAUAUGAUCCAAAGAACACAUUUACUUCCACCAAAAGAAGAAGUCUGUUCUACAAGACCAAUCUUCCACCUGCAUGACAGUCCCAGGAAUGAUGCCAUCACAAGACACACAUUUCUUAUGCGCAUCAUUUUUAAAUUGCAAAGCUUAAGGGACCGAAGAAGAACUGCACAUAAAUUUUUUCCAGGAGAAAACAAAUGGCCACUAGCUGUGGGAGACAUUUGACUUUACAGCAAGAUGGAGUGCCUGCAGAAUUCAGAUGUGGUGGAUUUCUUUUGCUGUACACAAUACAUACAAAAGGACACCAAUGCCUGAAUGGAUAAUUAAUGUCUGAGCAGUGCAGACAGAUUGAAUUGUGUUCAGUUAGGGCCACCUUGUUACUUGCCUUAGCAAAUAAUUGCUGACAGAAGGACAUUUACCUACAAAGGCUGGUAACGCUUAACAUGGCCUUGCCAAGAGCCAUGACAGAGAAGCUUUAGUGUUACUUUUUUAUGCAUAUUUCGAGUGAUUUGGCUAUAGAUAUAGAAAUGUCAGUGCUCUAAUAAGGAAGACUUCAGGCAACAGGUGUGAAUUUUGCGCAAAGCAGCACUUGCAAUUAAAAAGAAAUGAAUGGGCUUAGACUGUUUUAUAUAUAGACCCCUGUCCAAAGAUUCGUGCACAGUGCUGCUGUUACAGAUUGUCAGACCAUCUGUUUGACAUGGUAUUUGCAGUGCAGGAGCGUGAAAUAUACAUCCCUGAAUGCUUGGAAGAGAGAAAGCACUUCCCUCAUGAGGCAUUGUUUUGCUCCGGCAGCAUAUUUCGCUUACACAGAAACACAGACUUUGAUGUGUAGGUACAACUCCACCAAAAACAUAUGACUGCUAAUAAUGGAGGGGUAUUUUAUAAUAGAAGAUUGUAUUUAAUUUGCACUCUUAGCAUCGAGUUUUCUACAUUAGAAGGACUACAGCGUAUUUGAUCAUUUUCCCUUUGGGUUGCUCAGAGAUCUGACAAUACAUCUUGAUUUCUGCAGGGAACCGAAUUUGCCUUUUCGAUGUGUUCUGUUCACCACAAUAAAGAACAAAGUGUCAACAAACAUUCUUUUACAGGCUGCUCUCUGGUGCAAAGACUGCUUUCAUCAACAAUAUUUUUUCAAAGAACAAAACUAGCAUUGUUUUUUUUCUGAGUUUCUUGUAAAAUAAUGUUUCUCCAUGCAUUGAUUGUCAAACUUAUUUUCUUUGAAAAUUGUAUUUAUGUUCAACCACUGUCGGGCAUCGCACACACUCCCCCGUUAUUGAAUAUGUCCUUCCUUCCUGUUUAUUUAAUACAAUAUUAUAAAUGACAAACAGAUUUAAGAUUGUAAGCGGCAAUGUUAAUUCUUUAGUUUCCAAGAACAAUUUAAUGUAUUCAAACAAAUUAGUCAAUUAGUUUCUGAAGAGGUAUUUCUCUGGAAAAUUACCUAGAGUGCUUAUACUUAUUUCUUUCUCCUUGUAAUAUUGCAUUGUUUAGCAAAACAUUCAUUCUUCAAGCUCUGCUUUCAGGGAAGUAGGAAACAAACUUAAUACAAGUUUAUGGAAUAUUUGGAGAAAUAUAUCAAUAGUGGAUUUAUCUCUUCUUCCAUUGGACAAGUGCUUAUCAUGUCUGUUGCAACAUGUUGUAUUUUAUAACGCUUAAUUUUGUAAAUGGUGCAAUAAUGAAGAUUAAACAAUUGAACAAUCA
Molecule: long non-coding RNA, 2297 nt
Organism: Anolis sagrei ordinatus
Lineage: Eukaryota; Metazoa; Chordata; Lepidosauria; Squamata; Anolidae
Source: RefSeq, a predicted model, not a curated record